AACGAACGCUGGCGGCAUGCCUAACACAUGCAAGUCGAACGAGACCUUCGGGUCUAGUGGCGCACGGGUGCGUAACGCGUGGGAACCUGCCCUUAGGUUCGGAAUAACUCCCCGAAAGGGGUGCUAAUACCGGAUAAUGUCUUCGGACCAAAGAUUUAUCGCCUUUGGAUGGGCCCGCGUUGGAUUAGCUAGUUGGUAGGGUAAAAGCCUACCAAGGCGACGAUCCAUAGCUGGUCUGAGAGGAUGAUCAGCCACACUGGGACUGAGACACGGCCCAGACUCCUACGGGAGGCAGCAGUGGGGAAUUUUGGACAAUGGGCGAAAGCCUGACCCAGCAAUGCCGCGUGAGUGUGGAAGGCCUUGGGGUUGUAAAGCUCUUUUCCCGGGGAGAAUAAUAACAGUCCCGGAAGAAAAAGCCCCGGCUAACCCCGGC
RNAcentral lists this ribosomal RNA (433 nucleotides) under uncultured bacterium. RNAcentral's name for it is "partial 16S ribosomal RNA". It matches the Rfam family "Bacterial small subunit ribosomal RNA", at positions 29 to 508 of the family's 1533-position model. The record is from RNAcentral.